UAGGGAAUCUUCCACAAUGGGCGAAAGCCUGAUGGAGCAACGCCGCGUGUGUGAUGAAGGCUUUAGGGUCGUAAAGCACUGUUGUAUGGGAAGAAAUGCUAGAAUAGGGAAUGAUUCUAGUUCGACGGUACCAUACCAGAAAGGGACGGCUAAAUACGUGCCAGCAGCCGCGGUAAUACGUAUGUCCCGAGCGUUAUCCGGAUUUAUUGGGCGUAAAGCGAGCGCAGACGGUUGAUUAAGUCUGAUGUGAAAGCCCGGAGCUCAACUCCGGAAUGGCAUUGGAAACUGGUUAACUUGAGUGUUGUAGAGGUAAGUGGAACUCCAUGUGUAGCGGUGGAAUGCGUAGAUAUAUGGAAGAACACCAGUGGCGAAGGCGGCUUACUGGACAACAACUGACGUUGAGGCUCGAAAGUGUGGGUAGCAAACAGGAUUAGAUACCCUGGUAGUCCACACCGUAAACGAUGAAUACUAGGUGUUAGGAGGUUUCCGCCUCUUAGUGCCGAAGCUAACGCAUUAANUAUUCCGCCUGGGGAGUACGACCGCANGGUUG
This 550-nucleotide ribosomal RNA is filed under the name uncultured bacterium. RNAcentral's name for it is "bacterial SSU rRNA". It matches the Rfam family "Bacterial small subunit ribosomal RNA", at positions 355 to 896 of the family's 1533-position model. The record is from RNAcentral.